This 162-nucleotide ribosomal RNA is filed under the name uncultured bacterium. Its description in RNAcentral is "partial 16S ribosomal RNA". It matches the Rfam family "Bacterial small subunit ribosomal RNA", at positions 355 to 511 of the family's 1533-position model. The record is from RNAcentral.
UAGGGAAUCUUCCACAAUGGGCGAAAGCCUGAUGGAGCAACGCGCGUGUGUGAUGAAGGGUUUCGGCUCGUAAACACUGUUGUAAGAGAAGAAUGACAUUGAGAGUAACUGUUCAAUGUGUGACGGUAUCUUACCAGAAAGGAACGGCUAAAUACGUGCCAG